UACGUAGGUGGCAAGCGUUGUCCGGAUUUACUGGGCGUAAAGAGCGCGCAGGCGGUCGUUCAAGUCGCGUGUGAAAGCCCCCGGCUCAACUGGGGAGGGUCACGCGAUACUGAUCGACUCGAAGGCAGGAGAGGGUAGUGGAAUUCCCGGUGUAGUGGUGAAAUGCGUAGAUAUCGGGAGGAACACCAGUGGCGAAGGCGGCCGACUGGGCCGACCCUGACGCUGAGGCGCGAAGGCGUGGGGAGCGAACGGG
This 253-nucleotide ribosomal RNA is filed under the name uncultured bacterium. Its description in RNAcentral is "partial 16S ribosomal RNA". It matches the Rfam family "Bacterial small subunit ribosomal RNA", at positions 524 to 776 of the family's 1533-position model. The record is from RNAcentral.